CACACACACACACACACACACGUACGCACUCACGCACACGCGCUCACAAAAUGGCUGACCAAAGUUGUGACGCAGUUUGACCGAACAUUCCGAACCGAAAGUACGAGAAAUACCAGUCCCAGGUCCGACACAACGGGGCGGGUGGCUCCUUCCCUCAAAAUCAGCUAAAUGUCUCUAAGUUAAGGAAGUCAACUCGUCGGCGCUAGCACCCGACUUCCUCCCAAGCUUCGCAACACGAUGUCUAGCAGUUACAAGAUCAAACCUUUGCUACAAUGGUUUCCCCAGAUAUCUGAGCACCGGAAGAGCCAAGACCUAACUUACUGAACUUUUAUUCCCUCAUGUACCGUCAAAUGCAGUGGAAAAACCCACAUACACCAUGGUAGUAAAGCAUAAAGGAAGGAAGAAUUAAAUACAAGUAGAGAAUUACAAAAAGAGAGACACACUGCAAAACUUUCCCCUGACGUUUUGGAUUUGGGAUUGCCAACUGAGCCCUGGGAUACACCGCCACCUCCUCCUCCUUCUUCCAAUAUUUUUUUUUCAGAAAACUUUAAAACAGUUUCAAAACCUCAAGCCCACCUUCCAAAGAUACAGAUUUGUCAAUCACGAGAAUACACUUUUUUUUAUACCUCUCUAAGUCUCCUUACAAUGAAGACACAAGAGGCAGACAUAAAUUAGAUAAUCACCUUGACCAGAAUAUUAUCUCAUACAAUGCUUGUUUUGUAGGAAAUAUGAUAUACAGACUGUGCUAAGUAUACUAAGACAUUAUUUUGUCAUCCUGUACCACCAGGAUGCUGUGGACACUGCACUGGACAGUCUCUGGGCAUUCACUUAAGCAUAGGACCUGUUAUGAAGAUAAAGAUCAAGCAAGGAGUGCUGAGUGCUUCUCCUCUCAAGACCAAGCACCUGCUGGAACAGUCACAGACGAGCAUUUCUGAGCAAGAACUCUUGAUAGGAAAGCAAAGGUCCAAAAGAAAAAGAAAGAUAAGAAAGGAGGUUAAUAAGUUGCCUAAACCUUUUCCUUAAUGAAUUAGAUAUCCAACUGUGAAACUGCAACAUAGGAGAACUGCUUAAGCCCAGCAAAGGGGAUAACCCUGUCAGCCCAGCACUGGAGAUUGACAGGCAGAAGGGUCAGAAAUUCAAGACAGAGUUCAAGGCCAGCCUGUACUAUGUGAAACCUGUCUCAAAAAGAAAACAAACAAGGAGAAUAGCUUAACCUGGUGGUCCUCAAGCUCUUAAAUUUCAAGCCCUUUUCUACUCCAAUAAUUUAGUAAAUCCUCUGAAAAUCGCUUAAUAUACUAAAUCUGUGGUAUGUACCAUUUUAGGAAUUGAAGUGAUGUAUUAAAAUUGUAAUCUGAUAGUUGAAA
This is a long non-coding RNA of Mesocricetus auratus (golden hamster), 1364 nucleotides long. RefSeq lists it as uncharacterized. The transcript is spliced from 2 exons. The record is from RefSeq and is a predicted model, not a curated record. Lineage: Eukaryota; Metazoa; Chordata; Mammalia; Rodentia; Cricetidae.